RNAcentral lists this ribosomal RNA (253 nucleotides) under uncultured bacterium. RNAcentral's name for it is "partial 16S ribosomal RNA". It matches the Rfam family "Bacterial small subunit ribosomal RNA", at positions 524 to 776 of the family's 1533-position model. The record is from RNAcentral.
UACAGAGGGUGCGAGCGUUAAUCGGAAUUACUGGGCGUAAAGCGCACGUAGGCGGCUUUGCAAGUCGGGUGUGAAAUCCCCGGGCUCAACCUGGGAACUGCAUUCGAAACUGCACUGCUGGAGUAUGGGAGAGGGAAGCGGAAUUUCCGGUGUAGCGGUGAAAUGCGUAGAUAUCGGAAGGAACAUUAGUGGCGAAAGCGGCUUCCUAGACCAAUACUGACGCUCAUGUGCGAAAGCGUGGGGAGCAAACAGG